GACGAGCGCUGGCGGCGUGCUUAACACAUGCAAGUCGAACGAUGAAACCUAGCUUGCUAGGUCGAUUAGUGGCGAACGGGUGAGUAACACGUGACUAACCUGCCCCUUUCUCUGGGAUAACGCUCCGAAAGGAGUGCUAAUACCGGAUACUCACACCGAGGCACAUGCCUUGGUGUGGAAAGUUUUUCGGAAAGGGAUGGAGUCGCGGCCUAUCAGCUUGUUGGUGAGGUAACGGCUCACCAAGGCGACGACGGGUAGCCGGCCUGAGAGGGCGACCGGCCACACUGGGACUGAGACACGGCCCAGACUCCUACGGGAGGCAGCAGUGGGGAAUAUUGUACAAUGGGCGCAAGCCUGAUGCAGCGACGCCGCGUGAGGGAUGAAGGUCUUCGGAUUGUAAACCUCUUUCAGUAGGGACGAAGCGAAAGUGACGGUACCUAAAGAAGAAGCACCGGCUAACUACGUGCCAGCCGCCGCGGUAA
This 482-nucleotide ribosomal RNA is filed under the name uncultured bacterium. RNAcentral's name for it is "partial 16S ribosomal RNA". It matches the Rfam family "Bacterial small subunit ribosomal RNA", at positions 28 to 523 of the family's 1533-position model. The record is from RNAcentral.